CUCGUGCUCCUUUUCUUUCUUCUCUUCUAUGUAUCUUUUCUUCUUCAGUCGAGUGAGAAUUUGAGAAAUCAAAUUAGUGAUUGAGAGAUCGAGUAUAGAGGGGGAAGGAUUGUGUAGUAACUGUUGUUUAUGGCGUUGAUGUUCAUCGAGCUCGGGAAAGAAGAAGCUGAUGCUGUUAAUCAGAAAUUAGGGUUUACAAGAAACUCAUAUGAAGAUUAGAAGAUGUGAAAUUGAUAAUUUAGAAGACUGAUUGGAGAUGGGUUUUACCUGAAUUAGAGUUUGAGUUUAAUGAAUUGAUUGGAAUCGGUAGUUAGGGUUUGUUUAUUUUUUUAAUGGAGGUCUAAGAAUUGAAUUAGAGUUCGAAUGAGGACUGUUAGUGAUGAUGGGAGUGUUCCGGUGUUGGAAGAACUGAAUCAGUGAGUCGUUGUAAUCUUAAGAAGAAUUCCAGUUAAGAAAGAAGAGGAAAUUUAAUUCUAAUUGCUGGAAACAGAACUUACUUGAGGUAAUUGUUUUCUCCGUAACUUAGUAAAGAUGUGAAUUUCAGUUAAUGGUUUUAUAGAUUAUGGAUAUUGUUAAGAUUGAAUUGAAGCUAAAGUUUAUAUCUUAAGUAUUUUGAGGAUUGAUACUGUGUUUAGUCUCAAUUGAAAUUGCAGAGAAGAUAUGAAUAUAAAUGUUGCAGAUUAUAGUGAUGAUUGUGUUAAAUUGCAACUGAAGAUUUGUAUGUCUAAGAUACCACAAUUAAGAAACUGGAUUUGGAGGUGUAAAUGUGCAGGUGAUAAGGUUGGUGUUGGAAUUGAUUUGGUUGAUUUGUUAUAAGGGGUGUAUUGGUUGUAGAACUGAAGUUGUAGUUACUCUGUAUUUGAGAUGAUAUGAGUAAUUCUUGUGAAGAUGUACCUGGUGGUGGUGUGCCGAGUUAAGCUAAAUAAGAUGAAGUGUUCUAAUAGAUGAAUUGAGAAUUUAUUUCAUGUGGCGGUUCAUGUGUGACAGGGAUUUAUGAAUGGAGCUGUUGUUGAUAUGAGUUGCAGAUGUGUUAAUUGAGCUUUGCUCAGUUGGUAAUGGUUGUGAGUUUUAGGUUGGUUGUUGGGUAUGUGAUAGAGAUAUGAUUCUGGUAUUGAGUUGUGUUUGAGUAGUGUUGAUGGUUGGAGAUGUUGCUGGUGCAAAGAAUGGUGUAUUCACAGUUGUAGAUUGAAUUUACUGUGAAAGAUUGCUGCUACUGCAAUUGCAGUUAGUCUAUAUUAACAACGAUCGAUUCAAAGGACGAACCAGUGGAUCGUGGAUCUCGAGGUAGGCGUGGCUUGUCAUCAAAACAGAGCUCUGGCGACUUGCGAUGAAGAUUCUUACGAGGUCUUUGAUCGAUUAAUCAGUUUCUCCGCGCAAGAUUUUGUUCCCUAGAUUUAUUCCUCUGUAUCUCCUUCGAUUGAUCAUUUCUAACACCCUAAAAAAUGGCAUGGAGAGAUAGUCUUUGUAGCUCCUGCAGAAAUGCCUUCUACAUGGAUAUGAAAGUGCAGCAGCAGCAGCUCAAUGCUUACUAAACUUGUAUAGGACAAGCUUUCAUACACAGGUGGUGGUGCUACUAGACUUUACAAGCAUUUGAUGAACAAGCAAGAGAUCUAAAGAAAACAUCUACAAGAUAUGUACAGUACCGUGGUUAGCCGAGAUAGUACUGGUAGUGUACAGUUUUGGGACGGUGAACAAAAAAUUCCUUUCCAGACACAUUCUUUGCCACAAGGAUUCUUUACAUUGCGAAUACACUACUCGUGAAGCCUAUGAAGCCACUAGCACUACAGUGGAAUCUCUCAAGCUACUUUGCAGAGUAGUCAUUAAACAGUACAUAUAUGUUGUACCAACAAUUGUGCCUCGUUCAAUUCCCUGGAUUUUGAGUGGUGCCUCAUAAUGAUGAGGUCGCUGCUGACAGUGUUGGUGUAGACUCGAAGAGGACAGGUUGAAUUGGAUCUGACAUUUUCGACAUUUCUUAUGAUGAGGCUGUUGGUGCUUUGGGAGAAUAAGGUUCAACGGAAGUGGAGCAGUAGGGAGUGUUUCGACUAGUGGUGUCUCGUUGGGUGGUAGUGAAAGCUGGAAGGGUGGUAGGGAAAGCUGGAAACUCGUGGCACUAAGCAUAUUCCACUAAGGUUUGUUUUAUGUUAUGGGAGGCAUGUCCAGAUUUACUGCCUACUGUGAGGAUUCUUGAAAAAAGAGGAUUCCAGUAACUAAUGUCAAUGGUAAAUUUUGUAACUUGGAGGAGGAAAGUGCGAAUCUAGUUGUCCAAAAGUUUAUGUUAUUUCUUUCUUUUUUAUGUUUUUGUUUUACGUCUUGGUCUUGUUGAAUGAUCAUUUUCUUAUUUAUUUGACACGCUCGACGCCAGGGGCUAAAUAUGUUUUUUCCAUAUUUUAAA
Molecule: long non-coding RNA, 2392 nt
Organism: Papaver somniferum (opium poppy)
Lineage: Eukaryota; Viridiplantae; Streptophyta; Magnoliopsida; Ranunculales; Papaveraceae
Exons: 7
Source: RefSeq, a predicted model, not a curated record